This 301-nucleotide ribosomal RNA is filed under the name uncultured bacterium. RNAcentral's name for it is "partial 16S ribosomal RNA". It matches the Rfam family "Bacterial small subunit ribosomal RNA", at positions 509 to 807 of the family's 1533-position model. The record is from RNAcentral.
CAGCAGCCGCGGUAAUACGUAGGGUGCAAGCGUUAAUCGGAAUUACUGGGCGUAAAGCGUGCGCAGGCGGUUUUGUAAGUCUGUCGUGAAAUCCCCGGGCUCAACCUGGGAAUGGCGAUGGAGACUGCAAGGCUAGAAUCUGGCAGAGGGGGGUAGAAUUCCACGUGUAGCAGUGAAAUGCGUAGAUAUGUGGAGGAACACCGAUGGCGAAGGCAGCCCCCUGGGCUAAGAUUGACGCUCAUGCACGAAAGCGUGGGGAGCAAACAGGAUUAGAUACCCCUGUAGUCCCUGUCUCUUAUAC